UUUCCGUAGGUGAACCUGCGGAAGGAUCAUUAAAGAGAAUAUGCCCUUUGGGGUAGACCUCCCACCCUUUGGUUUUAUUACCUUUGUUGCUUUGGCAGGCCCGGCGUCGGCCCACCGGCUUCGGCUGGUUAGUGCUCCCCAGAGGACCCAAAACUCCUAUUAUUAAUAUUGUCUGAGUACUAUAUAAUAGUUAAAACUUUCAACAACGGAUCUCUUGGUUCUG
This 223-nucleotide unclassified non-coding RNA is filed under the name plant metagenome. Its description in RNAcentral is "partial contains small subunit ribosomal RNA, internal transcribed spacer 1, and 5.8S ribosomal RNA". The record is from RNAcentral.